CCCCCCCCAUGUUUUAUCUUCCAGUGUGAACGUCAACGCAAAGCGCCUGGGAGGAGCCUGUGGAAGAAAGACACCAACCUGCAAGCCUGCGCAGCUGCAGCCACAGUCGCUGCUCUUAAAAAGCAGGUCCUAAUGCAACUGGUGUGUGGAUUGAUAAAUGUGUCAGCCUAACAUCGUUAAACCUGACCUGCAUAAUGAUUGUCAAAGAUGGGACUCUGAGUGAGGUUGUCAUGACAUGCUACUGUGACAACGGCUGCAACCCAAAUGAUAACGAAGUAGGAACCAGCUUUGCGUUUUCUGAUAGUGGUCCCUUUGCCUUCAAGAAUUUGCCCUGAGAUCUCAAUGCAUCACCCUGUAAUGAAAUGUGAAUACAUUGUGUGAUUGCUUGUUUUUCCCUGUAGAAAGGCUCUGUAAAUUAACAUUUUUAACAUGUAUAUUCAGUACAGUAACAGCUUAAUUAAAUGCAUCUAGUUAGUUGUAUUGCUGUUGCAUUAUUCUCUCAUGAUUGAAUAUCUUGUCAUUUAUAACACGCUUUGGGCCUGUUUGCAGACGUGCAAUAUUUUUCUGCAUAUUGUACUGUACAUUGCCACCCUAAGCAUAAAAUAUGUAUUUUUCUCUGCUGUGGUAAAAGAAAUGUGCAAUCCUUGAAAAAAAUAUUUAAUUGCAGUUUAAUUGUAAGAUUACUGCAGAAAUAAAAACUACUACCAGUUUAAGUAAACAUUCUAACCAAUAUUUUAAAGAUCAUUUUGUUAGCACUCAACAUUUUCGCCUUCACUUGUUCUGAAGAUAUUUUAGUUCUUUGCUUUGAUUUUGCUGCUGCUUCGUGUAACUAUAAUCACUUCAUGUGUUAUAGCUCAAACUCAAAUGAGACCAUGUGACCUCCAGCAAAGAUACCAGCAUGCAGAGUACCUUUAGAUUUGUAUGUGCAUAUCUGCAUAUGUAAGCAACAGCACAUGACAAGGCAUGUGGUGAGACUUAUCUUCCCCACGCCUGGGUGCGUUGAAAAAAAUUAUAAGCCUCUCGGGUGGAAUCAAUCAACAAAUACAGCUCUGCUUUCUGACCCACAAUACAGCCCUGUUAUACGCCACAGUUCAUUAAAAAAACUAAACUAAAAAAGUUCGAUACAUUUUUAAGUGAAAAAUAACCAUGAGACUGGUUUACUGUGGCGAGUAGUGGAGUGGUAUUUUAAGACUGGUUUACCAAUCCUCCGUGCCGAGUAGUGGAGUGGUAUUUUGAGACUGAUUUACCAGUAUUCUUUGCCGAGUAGUGGAGUGGUAUUUUGUUCUGCUGUGUUGGUUAGGUAAGGAUUGGCAAGAUAGUUCAUUUUGAAGCUUAAUAAAAAUAUGAAUCUGUGUGGUCUUUAUAAAUUUUGAUUACUUCAGACAGUAUACAUUUCUCAAUUGUUUGAGGUUAAUCCACACCCUGAAUGGUUUGUGGAAACUUUUCUUUAAGUCACUUACUGGCAGCAUUCUUGGUCAGCACAGUCACAGCAUACUUGUCUGGGUUACUUGGUUAAACAGUGCUGUUGGCCAGUUUCUAUCCAUACUAGGUUCUUAACAGUUGGAGAACAUUACUGUUAUCAAUUUAAAAAAAUGUGCUUGUUUUUAAAUGCUGUUUGUUUG
Molecule: long non-coding RNA, 1622 nt
Organism: Acipenser ruthenus (sterlet)
Lineage: Eukaryota; Metazoa; Chordata; Actinopteri; Acipenseriformes; Acipenseridae
Exons: 3
Source: RefSeq, a predicted model, not a curated record